RNAcentral lists this transfer RNA (81 nucleotides) under Mycobacterium paragordonae. RNAcentral's name for it is "tRNA-Pro". The record is from RNAcentral. Lineage: Bacteria; Bacillati; Actinomycetota; Actinomycetes; Mycobacteriales; Mycobacteriaceae.
UCGUCGCCGGCCGGGGGUGGCGGCGCGUGGUUCGGGCCUGCUUCGAGGUCGGGGCCGAGGUUCGCCUCGUCGACGACGAUC